AAUCACCUGUCGAACUACCGUAGUUCGACAGGUACCCUAUCGAACUGUGGUUGUUCGAUAGGUACCUUGUCGAACCACGGUUGUUCGAUAGGGUG
RNAcentral lists this microRNA precursor (95 nucleotides) under Oryza nivara. Its description in RNAcentral is "pre miRNA MIR439". It matches the Rfam family "MIR439 microRNA precursor family". The record is from RNAcentral. Lineage: Eukaryota; Viridiplantae; Streptophyta; Magnoliopsida; Poales; Poaceae.